UUUCUGCCACCGAAUACAUUAGCAUGGGAUAAUGGAAUAGGACCCUGUCCUCCUAUUUUCAGUUGGUUUUGGCAGCGCGAGGACUAGGGUAAUGAUUAAUAGGGAUAGUUGGGGGCAUUAAUAUUUAAUUGUCAGAGGUGAAAUUCUUGGAUUUAUGAAAGAUUAACUUCUGCGAAAGCAUCUGCCAAGGAUGUUUUCAUUAAUCAAGAACGAAAGUUAGGGGAUCGAAGACGAUCAGAUACCGUCGUAGUCUUAACCAUAAACGAUGCCGACCAGCGAUUAGGAGACGUUGAAUACAAAACACCACCAUCGGUGCGGUCGUCCUUGGCGUCGGUUUCGGCCGGCGCGGGGGUGGCUUAGCCCGGUGGCACCGGUGAAUGACUCCCCUAG
This 390-nucleotide ribosomal RNA is filed under the name Acanthamoeba genotype T4. Its description in RNAcentral is "SSU rRNA". It matches the Rfam family "Eukaryotic small subunit ribosomal RNA", at positions 786 to 1083 of the family's 1831-position model. The record is from RNAcentral. Lineage: Eukaryota; Discosea; Longamoebia; Acanthamoebidae.